RNAcentral lists this ribosomal RNA (994 nucleotides) under Karstenula rhodostoma. RNAcentral's name for it is "SSU rRNA". It matches the Rfam family "Eukaryotic small subunit ribosomal RNA", at positions 84 to 1087 of the family's 1831-position model. Lineage: Eukaryota; Fungi; Ascomycota; Dothideomycetes; Pleosporales; Didymosphaeriaceae. The record is from RNAcentral.
AAACUGCGAAUGGCUCAUUAAAUCAGUUAUCGUUUAUUUGAUAGUACCUUACUACUUGGAUAACCGUGGUAAUUCUAGAGCUAAUACAUGCUAAAAACCCCAACUUCGGGAGGGGUGUAUUUAUUAGAUAAAAAACCAAUGCCCUUCGGGGCUCCUUGGUGAUUCAUGAUAACUUCUCAGAUCGCAUGGCUUUACGCCGGCGACGGUUCAUUCAAAUUUCUGCCCUAUCAACUUUCGAUGGUAAGGUAUUGGCUUACCAUGGUUUCAACGGGUAACGGGGAAUUAGGGUUCGAUUCCGGAGAGGGAGCCUGAGAAACGGCUACCACAUCCAAGGAAGGCAGCAGGCGCGCAAAUUACCCAAUUCCGAUACGGAGAGGUAGUGACAAUAAAUACUGAUACAGGGCUCUUUUGGGUCUUGUAAUUGGAAUGAGUACAAUUUAAACCUCUUAACGAGGAACAAUUGGAGGGCAAGUCUGGUGCCAGCAGCCGCGGUAAUUCCAGCUCCAAUAGCGUAUAUUAAAGUUGUUGCAGUUAAAAAGCUCGUAGUUGAACCUUUGGCCUGGCUGGCAGGUCCGCCUCACCGCGUGCACUUGUCCGGCCGGGCCUUUUCUUCUGGAGAACCGCAUGCCCUUCACUGGGUGUGUUGGGGACCAGGACUUUUACUUUGAAAAAAUUAGAGUGUUCAAAGCAGGCCUUUGCUCGAAUACGUUAGCAUGGAAUAAUAAAAUAGGACGUGCGGUCCUAUUUUGUUGGUUUCUAGGACCGCCGUAAUGAUUAAUAGGGACAGUCGGGGGCAUCAGUAUUCAAUUGUCAGAGGUGAAAUUCUUGGAUUUAUUGAAGACUAACUACUGCGAAAGCAUUUGCCAAGGAUGUUUUCAUUAAUCAGUGAACGAAAGUUAGGGGAUCGAAGACGAUCAGAUACCGUCGUAGUCUUAACCAUAAACUAUGCCGACUAGGGAUCGGGCGGUGUUUCUAUUGUGACCCGCUCGGCACC